CUAUGCCCCAUAUAUAUAUAAGGCGACGUAUGUGGUGCCCAAACCAAACGGUGACUAAGAUGACCAAAGGGAGAAUAUCCAGUAGAAAUGUGACGCGUGCCACCUUUGGAGUAUGCUGACCAUAGAAAUUAAAUUUUAAUGUAGGGUAAUUGUUUUAGCUUUGUGAUAAAUGUUAAUUAAAAAGUUAAUUAGAGAAACAGGUGAUACGAUGUAGUUGAAAGUCGUUUUGGGGCUUAUUGUUUUUAAAAGAGAGUUCCUUCUCCUAGCGACGGCGGAGAAUCGAUAACAGCGAUUGUGUACCACAAAUCGAGCAGAGCAUAAAGGAAGACGCGCCGGCAUAGCAAGUGAGGAAGGAAUUUGCAUCGCUGACGGAGUGGUAUAGUGAGAUCGGUAUCAAAUCUGUCGUGGAUGGCUUGGAGGCUUCACAAAUCAAGUAAGAGCCUUGGUAAACACAUUUAAAAUUUCCUUUUGAACAUGCCAUGUUAAUGGGGUUCAACACAAAUGUAAUGGAACAAGGAAUACUCUGGGUACAAGACAUUUAUUACUCGGAAGCAUUGUGGGCGAAAAGUGGGAUUUCAGGGGAAAUGAGACAUUCAUUUACUCCAUUUUUUCAAUGAAAAUAUUUUGGUUGUGCCAAGGGACGAGAAAUUUCUAAAAAAUCAUGAUCUCUUCAGCUGUGUUUGUACUAGAAUCAUAACCUAUUACUUGUUUUCUGGAUAUUUAGUUUUGA
Molecule: non-coding RNA, 730 nt
Organism: Arachis ipaensis
Lineage: Eukaryota; Viridiplantae; Streptophyta; Magnoliopsida; Fabales; Fabaceae
Source: RefSeq, a predicted model, not a curated record